UACGGAGGGUGCAAGCGUUAUCCGGAUUCACUGGGUUUAAAGGGUGUGUAGGCGGGUAUUUAAGUCAGUGGUGAAAUCUCCAGGCUCAACCUGGAAACUGCCAUUGAUACUAUUUAUUCUUGAAUAUCGUUGAGGUUGGCGGAAUAUAUCAUGUAGCGGUGAAAUGCAUAGAUAUGAUAUAGAACAUCGAUUGCGAAGGCAGCUAACUAAGCGAUUUAUUGACGCUGAGGCACGAAAGCGUGGGGGAUCAAACAGG
This 256-nucleotide ribosomal RNA is filed under the name uncultured bacterium. RNAcentral's name for it is "partial 16S ribosomal RNA". It matches the Rfam family "Bacterial small subunit ribosomal RNA", at positions 524 to 776 of the family's 1533-position model. The record is from RNAcentral.